GUCUUCUGCCGCGGCCGCAGCCCCGCGCUGUCAGCCAGCCGGAGGUGCCCGGUCCCUUCUCCGACUGCCGCUGCCGCCAUGUAUCUCUGCAGGGCCGCCUCGCAGGCGCUGGCCUCUCGCCUGAGCCGGGCUCCCUCUGCUGCGAGCCGCCUCAAGCAGCGUGGCCUACAGAGUAGUCAGUUCAUCUCGCAGCAACUACAUUGAACACGUGAAUAUUCUCCAUGAGAGAUCUCAGGGGCGGAAAGACAAACACUAAAAUACAAGGGAAAUCUCUUUCCAAACCCGAGGAAGUUAAAUACAAACAAAGGACAGUCGUUCACCAUUGCGUACCUUGCAGCCUACCUUGGGAUGACUUUAUACCUUCUAUUGUAAAACUCCGUACUUGUGAGACUAAAAGAACUACCUAUGUUUGCAAGGCCAAACCAUAUUGAGCUUAUUACUGAAUCUGCUUUGCAGAAGGCAGUUCAGAGAUUGAGAAGCUGGCUGUUUUGAAUGAAUGCACUCUAUACUUGACUGUCCAAUAAAGUGUACUGAAUGCUGAGCUUGGCUGUUAGUCUGUUCUUUGUGUAAUUGAUUUAGGUUUCUUUGGAAUAUAGCAUUCUCUUAAAGGGACAUGAUCAGGUUGUAUAAUACAAAGCUUUGAUUUCUUUGCUGAGCAACGAAUAGCCUUGUGUUUAAACCUGAACACAAAAAGAUAGGCUUGCACUAGCCUAGGAAAAACAAGAAUUAAAAUCGAUCUGUUUAGUUUUUAAACAGAAAACAAUAAAUUCUGACUAUGUCUCUUUAAGCACUUUCCUGUCUAUUCUCACUUAGAUUACACUGUAUUGCAAACUUUAUUUCCAGUUCUGUGUUUUCACAUGGUGAGUUGGUUCUAGUGGCAAACUUGGAAUGAAUACUUGGUAUAUAACUUUUCUUUUGUUAACUUGAUCUUAGUGCAUGUUUGCAUGGUGGUUGUGCAUCUUUGUUGCCUUGUGCCUUUAGUUUUUAAUGACUUGUCUCAGUUGAGUUUGAAGUAAUGCAUGACUGGGAAGCACUGGGUUUUUCAGAUUCUAGCAAUUUCGACCCACAGCAGUAUAGGCAAGUCUUUAAAGACAGAUGGAAGUUGUAAAAAGAAAAUGAUCAGCCAUAAGCAGUCAUAUCUCCAAUAAAGUGAAUGCUGACCACUUAAAA
Molecule: long non-coding RNA, 1170 nt
Filed under: Strigops habroptila (Kakapo)
Lineage: Eukaryota; Metazoa; Chordata; Aves; Psittaciformes; Psittacidae
Description: lncRNA (ENSSHBG00005019675.1)
Source: RNAcentral